Molecule: long non-coding RNA, 1014 nt
Organism: Daphnia magna
Lineage: Eukaryota; Metazoa; Arthropoda; Branchiopoda; Diplostraca; Daphniidae
Exons: 7
Source: RefSeq, a predicted model, not a curated record
AAGCCCGACUUAAUAAGCCCGACCGGCCCGACUAUGCGAAGCCAGGCGAAGCUAUGGGGUGAGGGUCCCUAAAGCUAAGUUGGGUAAAACAAAAAAGUAAAGUUAGUGAAAGAUUCUCUUAGACUCCAAAACCGGCUGCUACUUACUAGAGCCAGCAGCUGGGUGCCUUAAAGUUGAAGAUAGUGAAAGAUCACUAAUGUAUAGGUUUGAAUUUUGUAACUAUGCCAAGGUAACAAGCCGUCUUAUGGUAGAAAUUCUUAGGCCUUACACCUUAGUUGUUACUGAUUGUCUGCUGAAUGUAGAUUGUGUUCUAUUUUAAACAUUAUCUUGGUUACAACACAAAAAUUUGCCACUUUUUUGUGCCAACCUGAGACACACUUCUUUUCAAGAUUAUUUGCAUGCUACACUCACGGUAGAUUGUCACCAGACAUCCUUUGAAUGGUACACCCACUGUCAGCAGCCUUACAGUGUGCUUCAUAAAUACAUCAAACCCUGAGAUAACAUUAUCGUUGGAAAUUGUGUGUUUGUUGUGGUUUUGUUUUCCACUUCUAUUAUCCACAUGCAAUUUUCACACUACUUCAUUACCUUUGUGGUGGAUAUUUUAUCAUCCUGGAAAAAGGAUUAUGGAAAUUGAUGAUUUCUAAUAUACAGCUGCAGAUAACAAAUUUUAAUAUAUUAACAUUUCAGAAUGAGCUUUCAAUUUGAAGCUGUGAGUGUUUUAUCAGAUUACGAAUUCCUACUUUGUAAACCAAACUUUCCUUCUACAAAUGGAUUUUGAAGUAUCACAUGGGUAUUAUGUGCUCUAUGAUAUCUUUGCAAAGUUUUUAAUUUCUGUUAUACUAAAAAAAUUCCCAUGGAAGGAAGUUCUUGCAGGAUCUGUUAUCGACCGUCUAUGUUAUGCAGUAAUUGGAUCUGCAGUUUAGUUAGAAACUGUUACUUAGAAAUGGGCUCAGUGUAGAAUUUAUAUGAAAAAUGAUAUUUGAUUGGAAAAAGAUCCUGGUUGAGACAAGAGAU